CGGAGAUUGUGCUGGUAGGGGCAGAGGCCCAGGAUCCAGACAAUGGUGCACAAAUUACAGUGAAGUUGGUGGACUUCGGGAGCUACUAGGCGACGGACUGUCCUAGAGCGGUGCUUCAUCUAGGUGUGACCCAAGAGUGGGUGGAUGAAGGUCGAUUGCCAAAGGAGCGAACAAAAUCGAAGGUGGAAGAGACCCUGCGAUGUAUUGGCAGAGGCCACACAUGGAGGGUUCACAAUUCGAGUUUAUUCCACAAGGAUCAAAAUGCAAUGGAGAUGUCACCAGGAGGCGACAUGGUGCAGCGGAUCGUGGUGGAACAGUUCGUGGCAAUGCGAUACACACGACAUAAUCCCAUGAGGGACUAGAUCAUACGGAGGUAUGAUCGGGAGCUACUGGAAGCUCCACUUCGGUGAACAACACGACGGCAAGAAGGGCUAUGGAUUCAAGGAGUGAAGGCCAUGGUACCGCAGAGGCGGGUCUUCCGUGCGUGCAUCGAAUUUUGCAUCGGAUGAAAACCUUAGUCAUCAGCAUAUGGGGGCUGUAUUCCACCAAGGGAAAAGUUCGAAUGCAAGUACCAGUGAGUUCCAUGGGAGGGACUUGAUCAUGCAGAGGUAUGAUCGAAGCAGCUGGAGAGUUGGACUGCUCCAGAGCUCAUAUUCGCUUAAGGGAGCCCGACAAGUCAGAGGACAAGGUCGAGUAAGCGAACGUUGCUACCAAGGAAGCUAAGGAGAACAAAAUCGGUGUAGACCCUAUAAUGCGAUGGCAGAGGCCAUGCAUGAGAGUUGCAGUCUGUCUUUCCAUCGACCAAAGGAGAGCUGCUUGGAGAACACAGAGGUGUUGAAGCAGGGGGUCGAAAAGGGCGAGGAAGCGACGACGAGUCCAGAGGGACUUAGCUACCCAAAAUCAAGCAUCAGUUAGAAUGGAGGUGGACUCGGAGGAGUGCCACAGAGGCAUAUCUACUGAUUGUGAAGAAAAGAGAUGCAGAUGCGAGACGACGGAUAGUAGUGCCAUGGGCAUGGCAGUGCCAUGGUACCGCAAAGGCGGGACUUCCGUAAAAGUCAUUGAUCCCUUGCUCUCAUGGAGGGAGAGCGCUUGGUCGUGAAAGGGGCCGAGGAGGUGGAGCAUGCAGAGGCAAUCUCCAAGUACCGAGACAAGGCUGAAGGGUAGAGGCUGAGGAACUUUGUAAGACCGGUGUCAAUGAGCUUCUCAUCAAGAUAGCCGAAAGUGAAGGACUUCGGGUCAUGCAAGAGUGCAUAACCAAGGAACGAAGCAGGCAGUACGCGGUGCUGUACCUUUGCUACUCAGUGGAGUAGGCGACAAGGUUGAUGGAGAAGACGGUACAAUCCCAGAGGCGACCAAACCUAUCAGAGAAUUACUCCAAGUUGGGGUGAAAACUUCCUGGAUUCCAGAAGUUCGAUGACAUUGAGAAGGUGAAUCACAGUAACUAACUCAACGCAAGGAGUGCAAACACUUCAAGUGCUUCAGAAGUGUGAGCAAAGAGUAGGCGAAGGCCAGUAACCAGCUCGAUGCAUGGAGUACAACCUCGAGGAGGCGGGCGAAGUCAAGUAACCUUUGCCCUCUCAACUCUUAAGAGAAUGGGCGAAACCGAGUACCCCAAUUCUCUUAUCUAUCUAGCAGAGGAGCUCUGCAUAUGUUCAAAGACCCUUUGAAGAUAAUGGAAGACAAUAGUUGUCAAAUCCUCACCAACGGUGACCAGUGUUACUGAGAGUAGAUUGUCUGCUUCAUUUCCCAACGAAAUGGCAAUCGAAAGUGGAAGUGAUGCGAACCUACUUGGAUGUGACAACUAAGUGAAAGAAGAGUCAAUGGGCAAAUUUUGUGGAGGAAGGAGCUAAAACUUCAGAAAUUUGCGAGACGAUGCUCGUUAAAGCUCCAACAAGCAUCCACCCAGUUCAAGCAGCAUGAGGAAUUUGAGAGACUGGCGCAGUAAGGAUGGUCUUUUCCUUCAUCUGGGAGAUCCGCAGGAAUCAACAAUGAUCAACACAACUCAGCCAACCCCACACUAGAGUUAAGAGUCAUUGGUGAGUUGAAGCAGCAUGACGGAUCAAAGGUUCGACAACUCAAAAACAGCAGCGGAGAGCAGCUAGGAGCCAAGAGGCGCAUUGUAGCUGGAUGAGAAGAUUGAAGACUCAGCAAAGGCGAGGAGUUGCAGUGUCGACAAAGGCUUCAACGAGGAUGUCGAAGGAAUAAGUGGGGGAGAAUGUCACGGACAAACUUCUAAACAGGAUGUUUCAUGUGGACACGUGCGAGAGAUUCUCGGUCUAUAAUGGACCAUUUUACCCUUUGUUGUGCAACGGUUCAGAGCUUGUAAGGUCUGUUUGUAAUUUGCAUUGUCUAUGAAGUGUUUUUCGAAGAUGUUUGCUUGUGGAUCCUGAUUGAGGCGUUCUCUCUAACCCGUUCUCUCUUUUGUUGGUCCUAAGGGAUAAUGAGAGGCUUCGGGGAGGCUGACUUUUGCGGACGGACACGCAAGGGUGCCGCAUGACUUAGGCAAAACCAGCUAAGUCCAUGACAGUAUGUCACUCUCAAAAUUAUAGUCUUAUCCUUUUAUACAACCCCUUCCACCAAUGAAUUGAUAAGAAACAUUCUCUCUGAAGAAUUUUGUAAUUCAGAAAACAUUGUUUUGAUGGUUUUAGAAAUUUUAUGUGCCUACUGAAUAGCUAAGAAUUUUUUUUUGAAAAGGAAAGAAAUAAUAGACACCUCCCAUGUUUGAUCUGGUUGUGAAAGUGCAUAAGGCUCCUACCAAAACGGGGUGCAGGAAAAGAAUGUGUGCAAUCUUACUUAUACAGGCAUAGAGACCGAUUCCAUGACCCAAAGGAUGGUCACUUUAAUUGCAAAGGAACAAUCAUAUUACGACAUCAAGGCCUAGCCUAUAUCUUCGAUCUGAUCAUACUAACCAAAUGAAAACACUAUUAUCGUUAUUAUUAGUUUAUUGAAGAUUCUACUUUCAUUGUGCACACAAUGGCAAUAAAAAAUAUGAAAAAAAUGAUAGGAGGACCAAACGCACAAGCAGACAUCCGAUAUUUUAUACACCUAGAAUUAAUUUUCUCCACAGGACCCUAUUUAGUUUUCCUAAAAUUCAUACUUACUUAAAUGUUCCAAGGAAGAUAUCAUGUCAUCUAUGGACUGGUACCCAUUGUUAAGUUCAUCCCUCAAAAGAAAAUUUCCAUCACAGAAGUAGCACAAGUUUUAAUUAGCCAUCUUCUUUUAUGGUGCAUAAGACAUGCUACAACUGAAAGAGACUAGCAGUCAAACAAUAAGUUAUAUAAUGACUGACAAAAUGGCUCUGAUUAUUUCAAAUCUGCUAGUAACAAACUUAGGGAAAGUUAAAGUUGUAUUUAGCUCAAAUAAUAAAAAAAUGAACCAACAAAAACAACAACAAAACUGUCAGCCCCACCAACUAUCUGUGAGAUUGGCUAAUAUGGAUUUUUUGCCACCACUGAUAUAUGUAAAGAAUUAUAUCUCUAGUUAAGAGUUUUUAUUUACAGUUUCUACUAGAGCAAAGUGAUUAUAUGGAAGACUCUAAUGUAUGUAAAAUAAACUACAGACUUACAGAGUACCAUACGAAACAAAAAAAAAGAAUUAGGCAAUGCAUAACAACAACCAAAAGACAACAAAAAGAAGCCGUAUUGCGCCAACUAUUAGGAUCAGGUACAUGGUCUCUUCCUGCUAUUUAUGUGAACUGAGAGCAAUAUCAUUGGUCAAACUAAAAGGAAACAUACUAUUUUUCAUGAUUCUAAAAAGUUCUAUUUGGUCUUCCUCUACCUCUCCUUCCAGCACUAAUUGUGAUUGAUUUAUUAGAUUUUCUUCUACCUCUCCUCACAACACUAUCAUCGUCAAUCUAGGAAUAAACAACUCAUUUGUUAUAGUUUCUAAUUAGUCUCUUUUAGCCUUCCUAUACCUCCGCUCAUACCAUUAUUCAUAAUUGAUUUGCAUCUACAGGUCUCUUUGGAACAUGUUUAUAUCUUAAAUGGUCGUCUCAUUUUAUCAUCAACCAAUCAUUCACAAAUGUGGAUAUUAUUAAUAUAAUCUUGUUUAGAGCCUGCACAUGAAUCUCAACAUCCUUGGCUCCACAACACUUCUGUACAUGUGAUUUCCUACCAGAUUAACAUUCAGAACAUAACAAAGUAGUUGGCCAUACGAUGGUUGGGUAACUUUUCAAUUAACCCAAGACAUACACAACAAUUCCAUAAAUGAUCCUCUCCAAUUUAACCAUUAUCCUUCUUUAGUUCUGUGCACAAUAGCUUCAACAUAGAUCCAAGAGAGAACUUUUACCUCUAGGUAGUUCUUAUCUUCAAAUUUUAACAAUAUUAUACUCUCUUAGAAGUUGCACUUCAUAUAUUUAUCUUCAUCCUAUUUAAUCCUACUCAAAAUGUUUUAAAUGGCAGUUAGACAAAUUUUUUCAGUUUUCUCAAUCCAAUCAAGCAACAGGAACAAACAACCAUACCAGUUAAUAUCUUUCAUUUUCUUAUUUUUAUUAUUCUUACAAUGACACUGGUCAGCAAACAUUAGUGUCCUGAAUAUGCCUAAUUAAAUCAUCCAUUAUAAGGAUUUAAUGUGAAUCCAUGAUGCAAACCUACAGUGACAGGAACUCAAUAGAAUUUCCUAUUGUCUUAGCAUAGUGACUACCCUUCCACACAAUUUUUACAACAUCAUAACUGUUGCUUAGCCCUUCUCCCAAAACCACCAUGAAAUAUCUUCAGGCACUAUAACUUUCUAUCAGCAAAAUAGAAAAACUAAAGAUACAACUAAGGUUCUUAAACUAUUUUAAACUUCAUUAUAUUAAGCCAUGUCUACACCAAUAAUUUUUUCAUAAUCCUUAGCGAUGAUAUUUAAACCAUUCUAAAGCCUUGAUUUUAAGGUUCAUCUCAUAAUUCAAAAUAAAAAAUUAAUCCCAAGUAAACUCUUCUUGACUAAACUAAUGCCAUCAACAAACCAUCACAUCCUCAAUUGGGAAAGGUGUGUGGUAUCAAAGUGACACUUGUUUACAAGAGUAGCCUAGACUGCUACAAUCUAUGGAAGACCUGGACAAAGGGCCUGUCCAAAGAAGAAAAGGAUAGAAAGGUAUGAAUAAUAUAUCAUCAUCGCAUGCAAAAAGAUGAGAAAACUAGGAUCACAAGCAACACAAAAAAAGGUCUAAAUUUGAAGAUAAAGGCCGGUACGGACAGUAUCAUUCGAAAUUAAAAUCCUUGCCUAAUAUAUUCAUCCACUAUAAGGAUUUAAUGUGAAUCCGUGAUUAAACCUAAAAUGGUAGGAACUCACUAGAUUUUCCUAGCUUUAAGUCUUAACAUUAGUGACAACCCCAUCACAACUUUUACAACAUCAUAACCACUACUCCAAAACCAACAAUAAAAUAUCUUAAAGCACUCUCUAUAUUUUACCAUCAGAAAAAUAGAAAAUUUAAGACACAACUAAGGUUCUUAAAUUAUUUUAAACUCGAUUAUGUAAAAAUCCAUCAACAGGCAUCUGAACAAGUAAUUUUGCAUAAUCUUGGGCCGUUAGCGUACCAAUUCCUCAUCCCACCAUGCCUCCCAGCUUUCCUCUCCCUUUACUCCAAUUCCACCUCUAUAAAAUAGCCAAUUUGUCCAAUCUCGAAAGUCCUCCACUGUCCUGAACAAUAGAAAAUAGCUACAUUGUAAACUAAGGCAUCUUUUAGGCAAACGUAUAUGCUGAACAGAGUGGGAAUACCAUGGGAUGCAAACUAAUAUUAAGACAAAGACAUGAAACUUACUUCUGCCACUCAAAACCAGAUGGAUUAAACAAAUAUGGAGCAAAAAGCCAAGAUAAUGCCAUGAUCCAACUACUAACAGAGAGCAAGAUGUACGAAAUAGCUCCACCACUGUUAUAACCAUAUGCAAGGAAUAUUACCAACAAAAGCACAACUUCUAACCUGCAAGAGAAAUAUAGGAUAUUAAGAUGAAUUUCCUUAUAAUUAUUGAAGAUGAACCUUUAAUUUUGGGUAAGAUUGCAAACCCCUUCACAAAAUGGCUACGGGAGUACAGCCUAUAAUUUUCUGCAAACUUGAUGUGACGAACAACAAAACCCCUACCAGUGGCACGGUACUGAUAUAAAGAUAAACCAGAAUCAAUAUGGUGAACAUAUUAAAGCAAAAAAAAUAAUAAUAAUAAAGCAGUAGUGCACAAGAGAUUUUUGCCUUAGCACCCCCAUGGAGAAUUGUUCUGCCAAAAUAGUGUGUCCUUGUUCCAAGAGAAAAUGUGAAAAAGACUGAGCAAAGCUGCAGCUGCAUUGUUGUGAAGCUGACAACAGCCUGUACAAAAAUUAACCACAAAAUAUAUGUUUGUAUCAUCACGUUCUUAAUAAAAUUAAAUAAGACUAACAAAGAAAAUAGUACAUAAAUUUCUAUUAAAUAAAUUUACAUGUUCACUUUAGAACCAUGAAAAAUCAUGUAGAAGGAUUCCUCCAUGAAAGCUUACAAACAACACUUGUCAACAUAGCACAACAGCAGAAGUUCAGAAACGAAGUUUGACUAGAUGAGAAAAGCUAAAGCCAUCUGUGGGGAGCCAAACAUAUAUCAUAAUUGGAAAAGUUCAACUAACUUUUGAUAUUAAGUGAAUUCUCCUCUACUGGGUACUAUCAUGAGCAAUUUAACUGGAGUUCAGGACAUCUACAAAGAAUCUUAUUUUUCGUUGAACAUAAAAAAAGUUACACAACAACAAUGAUAUUCUAUCCACUUCAAUAAAUAACACUACAAGUGUAAUCAGCAAGAACAUUUUAUUUCUUUGAGGACAUAUUACUAUGUGGUUCCUAACAUACAUCCCCCCUUCUUAAGGUCCAACUGAGCAGCUGGCAAAUUGAUGAUAGGCUUCUAAACACAUCACAUUUUGGCUGAUCCAUGGUUUGGUGCUUCUUUCAAACCUUAACUGGAUUCGGAGAAACAAUCAUGAUUGGUAAUCCUUAAUCAAAACUUCUAGAUAAUUAAAAAAGGUGUACCCAAUGAACGAUUGGAGGCUCCCGCUAAUGUGGGAUUUGCGGAUGUCAAUGUACAUAGCUUUACCUUUAGAUAUUUUAAAGUGGCUGUUUCCGUGACUUGAACCGUUGUCUCCUAGGUCACAAAGGAGCAAGCUUACCGACCAAUUCCAAAUGCUUAUAUUUUCAAAAGUUUUGGCCAAUUUUGAUGUUAUUGGCCCAGGUAGCAAAAGAUUGAUAGGGUAACCAUAUAAAAUAAAAGAUUUAUGAAUAUACAACUCUAUUCCGAGACAUGAACUUUGUCAGAUUAGAUACUGGUCAUAAAGCAAUUAAAAUAAAGAAAUGAGUUCUAUUAUUUUCAUAAGUAUUCAUGCUUCUAAUAGCAUGCUUUUCUCUUUUCACUUUACACAUCAGUACCACACUCCAAGAUUCACUCACCUUUCGAAUUUAUUCACCAAAAGCUUCCAUAAGAAAGGAACAAUGAUGUCAGAAAAAAAUAAAAGAAAAAAAAUGAUAACAUGCAUUUAUUGGACAAUUGAAUCUGAUAAUCAAACAUAAUUGAUGUCUAAAAAGUCAUCGAUGUCUAAAUAACCAGUUUUGCAUUGAAAUGACAUUUCAAGGAUGUCAUAAGAGGUUAUAUCAAAAUCUAUACUUUAAGCACUUAAAUCAUUUCUACACAUUUGGUACAGGAAUAUCAUUGAUAUUCAUUACUCAGGCCCUUUUUUAACAAAAUUGGAAAUUACACAUUCUCAAUUGUGUCAAACCAUUAUAUUUAAUAAUUCUAAACAAAUUAACCACUUCAACAUCAACUACAAUUUGCAAAUAUAGAAAUGAGAUGGGUAUCAAAAGUGGAUACCAUUAGAAAACCAUAUUCCAGUAUGAAGCCCAAAAUCAUUGGAACAGCAGUGAAGACUCCGAUCUGAAACAGAAACUGUGUGUUUAGUGCAGCAUCUAGGGCAGUGUUCUGUAAUAUGUCCGCCCGAAUCUGAAUAGCUUCACCAAUGCCAGAUAAUGCCUGCAUCAACAAUUACCAUAUUCUGGUUUAAAAAAAACAGAAAAAGAAAAGAAAGAGGUAACAUGUUCACCUAAGGAUACCAAAAGGGUAAUAUGUUUACCAAAAAUCAAAUGAACUUCAAGGUUUAACAACAAAAGCUAAAGCUCAGCAAAAUCUCCAAUAGUAACAAAUUGUCAGAAAUGAUAAUAUUGACAAGAAAAAUCUAAAUAAAAAUAAUAUUGAUUGGAAAAGAAAGCAACUCAUUGCAAAAGGCUCCAGCCAAUACAAAUCUGCGAUGGAUCAGUGUAGGCAGUCUUUCUUCUACAAGUAGAAAGACUGUUUCUGUGACUCGAAUCCAGGUCACCCAGGUCACGAAGGAUUAACCAUACAAUUGUACUGAGGCUUGUGACAAGCCAUUAAGUGAAUUCAAACAUAGCAAAGAAUUUUGAGAAAUAACCAAAACCUUAUCUCGCUGAUGAAGGCAACGGCUGUGUUUUGUUAUCAUUUCUUCCAUUUGCAUCUUGAUGUCAUAUAGUUACUAUUAGGAACUCACAACGCAAAUGUGUAGCAAUGCUUGUGGCACUGAGUUUUUGGUCUAUCGAAAGAGAAAGUGACAUGCCAAAAUCAUGUCCAACACAUUAUUGUACACAUCAGAAACUUCUGCAUUGCUGAAUAAUCCUUUGAAGAAAUUCUUAGUGGCAUUUAUCUUGAUAAAUUUUGUCCGUGUAGAUUCCCAAAGAUAAGUCAAUCAAUGCUACAGCAUAUGAUUCUUUAUUUUUUAAUAAGUUGUGGCAACAACUUCUCGAUCAUAGAUUUUGCAGUAUCUCUCUGUCCUGAGCUCUUUGGGGCUGAAUAAGGUAUUUCUUGUACCGUUAUACUUUAUUACUUUAGUGAUAGGAGUUGGUAUACUUCCCCACUAGGAAAAAAAUGACAGAUAUAUUAAAUAGGAACAAUUAAAAAUCCACAACCAGUACCAUCAUCUUUUGCACUAUGGAUUCCUAGUGAAGGAAAAGGAUGUCGACAUAAAGUUCAAAGCUUAAUAGGCUAGUUCAAUUAAUACUUUAAUCUAUAUCCAUGGACAUUUCCUUGUUUAUACUAACAAAUAUACUUCAAAUUUGCAAAUGUGACCUAAUAGCAUUUGCUAUACCAAUUAAUUACAUCCAACGACAUGGACAAGGAUCUAGUACGGAUGUAAUAUAUGGAUACUUCAGAAUACAUAUGAUUUUAUAUUCAAACAUAUGAAUGCCGAUCCUUGAGAGACACUAAUAUUUUAUUAUAAAAUAUAAUUAAAGAUUUAAAUACUCUUAAUUUGACAACACAUAUAGCAUGUGGCAAAGGAUCCAUGUAGCCAAUCCCAAAUAGUCAAAACAUAUAGGUUGUUGUUGUUGCUACUGCUUUUAUCUUGUUCCAUGAGUAAUUGAUAUAUAUAUGUUGUAUUCUUCAUCCUCUGCUUCUGUGAAUUAUUUGUAUGGAUUACAUAAUUAUGCUGAUGUGUCUAAUUGAAAAUUUAUGAUUUGAAGUAACUUAAAUAUAAUGUGUAUGAUGCAAUUGUGUUAUGUUUGAUGCUUUUCUUUUCCUUAUGUUCAACCUAAUGAGAAGUGGUAAAUAACAAGUGCAUGAUUAUAUUUAUUUUUUCAAGAUGAAACAAAGACGACGACAAAGUGCUCUAAGCUAUAUAAGAAUACAAGUUUACAUUAAUAUUACCUUUGAAAAUACAAGUUUAAACCAUUUUCCAUCAUGGUUAUCAUUUAUUCGUUUUGAUAUAAGAAAAUAGAAUAAAAAAAUAUGGUGGUCAGUUCUGUUGUUGCAUGAUAUGAAAAUAUAAUGAUUAAUCUUGAUAGCUACCUUCAUAUUCAUUUAAAACUUUAUAAAAGUGUACAAGUCCUAAUGCCCCUCUCCACCUAAUAUCUGGUUUUUACUCUAAGAACGAUAUCAUUAAAGAGGAUAAAAGCAAAACCAAUUUCUUCAAUCAUUCAUGAAGACCAAUUCUUAACUUAUGCUACUUAGAUGAGAGGUAUAGCAUUGCAAACAAAGUGAUGAUCAUGGUCUAUAAUAUGCCACUUAAUUGCAAGGAUAAGAUCUGUUUCGUACUUUCACGGACAAAGUUCUAAACAACCCCAUUUUAGUUGGGUUUGGUGGCCUUCUUAGGCUUAUAAAUAAAUGUUGUGUCAUGUGAACACAUGUGAGAGAUAUUCGGUCUGUAGUGGACCAUUUUGACCCUUUGUUAUGCAACUGUUCAGAGCUUGUAAAGUCUGUUUAUAAUUUACAUUGUCUAUGAAGUGUUUCCUAUAAUGUUUGCUUGUGGAUCCCGAGUGAGGCGCUUUCUCUAACCCGUUUUCUCUUUUGAAUGUCCUAAGGGACCAUGGGAGGUUUUGGGGAGGCUAACCUUUUACGGACGGACACGCAAGGGUGCCGCAUGACUUAGGCAAAACCAACUAAAUCCGUGACAGAUGGUAUCAGAGCGAGACAAGCACUCAUAGAAACACUUGACAUGUAAACGUGGGGGACCUAGUGGGGCUGCGUUGAGGGCAACUAGCACGCGCGACCGUUUGGGGGAAAACGAGCAUGGAGAUGUUGGGAAAAGGAGUCGCUCAGAGGAGCGGGCAUCUGAGAGUGGCAUUCGAAGGAAUGACCAACCCUUCGCGCUAGAGGCACCUCGAGGACAAGCAAGCUGGGAAGAAUGCGGAUGGCUGGGUUGGUUGAGAUGGCUGAGUUCGAGCUACGACUCGACAUUAACAACUACACUUUAUGGUGCUAAGGCAAGCGAGGUGCUUGGUAAAGGAUGAGACCAUGCAAGGUGAAAUGAGUUGCUCAGCGACCAAAAGAGUUAUGCAAAGCUCACAGAGGUGAGGGGAAUUGCUAACUCGAAGAAUUCGAUACUCAUGCAAGGGCUUAUAUGCGGACGAUGAAAUGUUCGUGGCCAUCCCAAGGCGAUCGGAACUCGGCGCCAUGGAGCAUUGGAACUUUCUCUUCGACAUGUGAAGGAUACGUCCGUAGGAGGCUGAAGUGUGCAGCGAGUUCAAUAUGUUGCUAGGCCUUGAGUGGUGCAACGGGGGCUGUAUUGACGUGGAGUCGCAAUCUAGCAAGUGCAUUUGCAGGAGGCAGAACAAUGUACAGUUUGUUCAGCAAAUCGAAGUAGUCCAAGGGGAUGGUGGUCAACGAAACUUUCAGAGAGAAAGAACCGAAGAGAGAUGUUGCUCCAACGGGACAGAUAUCCAGGAGGGAUAAGUCCCGGCUCUCCAGAGUGAGAAUCAUGUGCAACAUAUCGCAUAUGUUGAGGAGUACCUCAAAAAAAAAAAAAACUCCAUGAAGCUCAAUGGACCGAGCGAGCGGUGAGGAGUCUUCACAUGAUCUCGCUUGAGAGAAUGCAUUGGUAGAUGCAUUGUGAGAUCAAGUAGGAGAGCGACCCAAAGCAACAUAAAUGAAGACAUACUUGGAGUCGAUAUAGAGAUCAGACUCAAGGGAGGGCUGACCCGUGGAAUGGUAGGCGCGAGGGUCACCAUCAACUCAUUGCAAAAACGAGGAGCGGAGUGACUUGGGUGUAACUUGACGAAGUACCCAAGCCGCAUGAAGUGAGCCGACAUAGAAGAUGGAACAUGGAGCGAAGGCGCAGAGCUUUCCUUGGACAGAGGUCAAGGACAUGAACUCCUGCAAAGGCAAGAGCAGGAUCAUAUUGUUCGAUGGGUCCUUCAUUCUGAUGGAGCGCACACAUCUUGCAUGGUGUCAAAGACGAAGGGAGCUUUUGAGGCACAUGCACCUUAUCUCGGAGAAACAUUUGAUGGAAGAACUAAGGCGACUCAAUUUGCGGAGGCGAAGUUGGGUUCAGAAGGCCUUGGCACGGGGUAAAAGGACGUGGAGACGAGUACUCUUGAAAAAUAUGCCAUAGUGUUGCCAUGAAGAAAGCGAUGCGCAGUGAAGAUUAUGCUGGUAGGGGCAAAGGCCCAGGAUCCAAACAAUGGUGCACUAGUUGCAGCGAAGUCGAUGGACUUCGAGAGCUACUAGGCGACAGACUGUCCUAGAGCGGUACUUCAUCUUGGUGUGACACAAGGGCGGGUGGAUGAAGGUCGAUUGCCAAAGGAGCUAACAAAAUCGAAGAUGGAAGAGACCCUGCG
Molecule: long non-coding RNA, 12045 nt
Filed under: Musa acuminata (dwarf banana)
Lineage: Eukaryota; Viridiplantae; Streptophyta; Magnoliopsida; Zingiberales; Musaceae
Description: long non-coding RNA (MACU_LNC002524)
Source: RNAcentral